CGUUGAGUAAUUUUUUUCUUUUUUUGAAAAGUUGAUGGUAGGCCAAAUCAGUUUGGGAAGUUUUGAACUAAACUAAAGGAGAAAUCCCCUGGUAAGCAGGUCCCCAGUUACACUAGCUAUCCCUGAGAAGAAGGUGUUGAGUGCCCCACGUAGCACCCAGUGUGAAUGCCUUGCUUCCCAACAAAGAAGACACUUUUAUAACUCUGCUGUUCUAAAUUUUAUGCACCAAGAUAGAGUUCUAAGAUUCCAAAGUGGGGUUUGAACGCAAUUGCAAUAAAUUGCACCAUCUGUUUCCUUAGACCCUCAAUCUGGUAUGCAAAUAUUCAAACCAGGGUAUCAUCAUAUUCAGCUACAGAAACAGCAAACAAACAGCUAGUAGUUUCGUUUUGGGGGUAAGGUUGGAGAGCUCUCAGGUCUUAAGAUACCGGCCCUGCCGCGACUUCCAAACCUCUGCUGCUGUCUCCUGGAACUUCCCUCCAAUCUGAGCCUCCUCAAGUCUGUCCUUGCAGAGUUACAAUACCUUAUUUAACUAUACACAUCAUGGUCCUGGUCAAAUCGGAACAAUUCAAUCCAAGGCUGUCAGUAUAAGGAAACAUCAAGAGAACUAAAAGAAGACCACCACCACAAUCCCUGUGUCAGGGAUUUACAAGAGGAUAUGGACAAGAAUGGCACAAGAUGUAAGGGCCUGGCUGUCUUUCAAACUGUAGCUCUGGUUGGAGUACCCACAUGACAGAGAUCAGAGAUCCAUCAGAAUCCUUACCUGAUUCAUGCAAAAUCACCUAAAGAAGGUUAUCAGCAUCUAUUUUAGAAUCAUGGAAUCUUGAGUUAGAAGUCAAUUUAGACAUCAGCUACUCCAACCCCUUCCUGAAGCAUUUACACUUCCUACAGCAUCUUUGACAAAUGGUCAUUGAUUAAUGGUGAACUCAUGACUGCACAAAGUAGCCCAUUCUAUUUGGGGGCAGUUAUAAUUGUCAGGAAGUUCCUAUAUUGGGCUCAAAUCUGAAUCCCUGUAAUUUCUACUCAUUGGGCAUAGUUCUGCCCUUAAGAACCGUCUGACUAAAUAUAAUCUUUUUGCUGUAUAACCAGCCUUAAAACACUUCAUGGUAGUACUUUAAAUUAGAAGACUUUGACAUUUAAAGAAAAAAAAAGACAGCAUUGGACCUCCCUAAUAUUGUCCAAACGCCUGGUCCUCAGGCCCCUCACGUGAUAGAGACUUGACUUCACAGGAAAAUAAAAAAGGCAGGGAGUCUUACAUUUUGACCACUGUUACCUGAUUUAAACCCUUGAUAAGACAACGGAGAAAUAAAAAUAAUUGAGUGACUUGGCCAAGGAAUGAUAAAGUUUUAGGUGAGGUUAGACCUCUCUGGCUACGGUUCUCAAACUCAGGUAUCGGCUUCUACUUCAACAUUUUGAUCUCAUCAACAACAACUGCCUGUCUUAACGUGGUUAAAUGUGCCCAGGGUGAGGAAUUCUAGAAAAUGUGCUGAGCUAGUACACAAAUCUAGCCACAGCCUGCCUUGGGACACUGAAAUUCCUAGCCACAAUUAUGCAUUAAAA
Long non-coding RNA from Phascolarctos cinereus (koala), 1557 nucleotides. RefSeq lists it as uncharacterized. NCBI's taxonomy places the organism in Eukaryota, Metazoa, Chordata, Mammalia, Diprotodontia, Phascolarctidae. The record is from RefSeq and is a predicted model, not a curated record.